RNAcentral lists this ribosomal RNA (253 nucleotides) under uncultured bacterium. Its description in RNAcentral is "partial 16S ribosomal RNA". It matches the Rfam family "Bacterial small subunit ribosomal RNA", at positions 524 to 776 of the family's 1533-position model. The record is from RNAcentral.
UACAGAGGUCUCAAGCGUUGUUCGGAUUCCUUGGGCGUAAAGGGCGCGUAGGCGGCGGGGUAAGUCGGGUGUGAAAUCUCAGGGCUCAACCCUGAAACUGCACUCGAUACUGCUCUGCUUGAGGACUGGAGAGGAGACUGGAAUUCACGGUGUAGCAGUGAAAUGCGUAGAUAUCGUGAGGAAGACCAGUGGCGAAGGCGGGUCUCUGGACAGUUCCUGACGCUGAGGCGCGAAGGCCAGGGGAGCAAACGGG